ACUUCUAAAGGAAAGUAGAUAU
RNAcentral lists this transfer RNA (22 nucleotides) under Meroles reticulatus. Its description in RNAcentral is "partial tRNA-Leu". The record is from RNAcentral. Lineage: Eukaryota; Metazoa; Chordata; Lepidosauria; Squamata; Lacertidae.